Molecule: unclassified non-coding RNA, 1401 nt
Filed under: Hevea brasiliensis (rubber tree)
Lineage: Eukaryota; Viridiplantae; Streptophyta; Magnoliopsida; Malpighiales; Euphorbiaceae
Source: RNAcentral
GGAACGUAUAAGUUCAAUAUACAUGGAUGAAUCAUCAGAUUCCGUGUUUGGCUUGAGUGAAGAUGCAGACUUCCCACUGGUUAGGAUGGCAGAUGUUCUAUUUGCUGAGAGAAUGAAGAACACAAUAAGGGAAUGGCGUGAUAGUUUGUUAAGCAAGGGAAGCAGUAGCUCUGAAAUUAAACAAAUAUCAACUGAUCCAAGUCAGAGAUUUCAAAUGGUUUUCUUCAAGACCCGUCCAGGCAUUGCCCUUAGUGAUUUUACUUCUCGCCAACUAAGGGUGAUUAAAGCGGUCACUAAAAAGCAUUUCAAAGAUCUCGCCUAUAUCCGAGUAGCAGGUGAAUCAACAUCUCCACAGCAAUUGAUUGUCUAUACAGAUUCCAAUGAUGACAGAGAUCUACUGAUGAAAGAGGUGAAGGAUGGCCUUCGUAAAGAAGCGGAAAUGAAGGUCGAAUCUGCUGUUGGAUUUCGACAUGUUAUUGAUCUUCUUUCAUCAGAGCAAAAGUUGAUUAUCGGUCACAAUUGCUUUCUUGAUGUGGCACAUAUGUACAGUAAAUUCAUUGGUCCACUACCUUCAACCGCUGAGGAUUAUGUAUCUUCCCUUCAGAAGCUCUUUCCUACCAUAGUGGACACCAAGAUACUCUUGAAUGCAAACGGUGUUUUUCGACAGACUUUAAAUAAAAGCAACACCUCACUAUCCAGAGCAUUUGUCUCUAUCUGUCCUCAUAUUGCUUUAGGUAUCAAAACAUCUAGUUUGGCUGAUAGACCGUGUGUAGAAGUGGAGGUUCAAGUAGAUGAAAAAAGAUCCUCGAACUGGAACUCAGGAGCCAAGCAUGAAGCUGGCUAUGAUGCAUUCAUGACUGGAUGCAUUUUUGCACAGGCGUGCAAUCAUCUAGGCAUUGAUUUCACCCUCCAUGUGCUUGGUGGAGAUUUAGCGAAGGAUACAAAGCUUCAGAAUUAUAUCAAUCGCCUUUACCUUAGCUGGGUUAGUGGUAACGUCAUUGAUCUAAGUAGUGGGAAAUGUACACCAGACUCCUCAGCUUCUAGCAACCUCAAAAGUCGGUACCAGGAUAUCUCAUUUCCUAGCAUCAUUCUGUUGUGGGGAUUUCCAUCUAAACUAAAAGCAAGGGAGAUAAAAGCUUGUAUAACACAAGCCUUUGGCCCAAAUCCUGUUUCUUCUGUCUACCACUUGGAUGAAAGUGCUGUGUUUAUUCAGUUUAGCAAGCCAGAACUGGUUUCUAAGUUUCUAGAAAUGAAGGAAACUCUAAGUAGGAACAGUGAUCCAAUUUCUGUGUUGCAUCCUCUUUCAAACAUUCUGAACGGGGAACACACUCAUGCAGCUACCUACGAUGUGUAUAAACAAAUUUGCAGUUCAUCCAUCUCAAAGAAAUUAUUUGCAGAUCA